This 224-nucleotide unclassified non-coding RNA is filed under the name Hevea brasiliensis (rubber tree). The record is from RNAcentral. Lineage: Eukaryota; Viridiplantae; Streptophyta; Magnoliopsida; Malpighiales; Euphorbiaceae.
GAAAAGACCUAUGAUCAUUCCCUCUCAUUAGAAGUGAUAAGUAGAGAGAAACCUCUUGAUAAGGAAAGUAGGAAAGUAUCUAAGAUCCAGUAGUUCUUUCAAGACAGAGACGUAUCUAGACUGUUCUAUACAAACGUUGCCUGGGACGGCCUGGAAAGUGUAUCAGGAUUUUUUUAUUUAAUGCAUGAGGCUUUUGGGAAAUGAAAAUAGAGCGAAAACUAAAG